RNAcentral lists this non-coding RNA (30 nucleotides) under Rattus norvegicus (Norway rat). The record is from RNAcentral. Lineage: Eukaryota; Metazoa; Chordata; Mammalia; Rodentia; Muridae.
UAGAAUGGAAGUGGACACCCUACUCGUGAC